Non-coding RNA from Peromyscus maniculatus bairdii (prairie deer mouse), 1853 nucleotides. The record is from RefSeq and is a predicted model, not a curated record. NCBI's taxonomy places the organism in Eukaryota, Metazoa, Chordata, Mammalia, Rodentia, Cricetidae.
AGCUGCUUCUUUUUGGCUUCUGGUGGCAGGGACACCAUGGAGGUAACUGAGGAGAAAGAAAUAUCACAAACUGACACAAAAACACUCUCCACAAUGAGAAUACUUUUAUUUCACCUGGCAGCUUCAAGGGGCCCAUAGGAAGGUGACCAAUGAACUUUGCAAGGCAAGAUGGUCCUUCAGGUUCCUGCUUCACAGAAGAAACUGCCAGACAUUUCUACAGGACACAGAGAGAAGCAGCUGAAAGACUCCAGGCCUGUGAGCUGAAGAAUGGAUACCUCAUUGUUGCAGAGGAACUUUGUUUAAUUAUCCAGGUGCCAAAAUGAGUGAGCUACCAUCUCAGUUUGAAAGUGUUAUGCAGAGGAAGAAAGGAAUACAGUCAGCUCAGAGAAGACAUGCAAAAAUGUUAUCUUUCCAAAAGAAGUAAACCUUCAAUGCGUGCUUAUAGUUGGAUCAAUUCCUCUCCCUGAAGCUUUGCACCUGUAUUUUCUCAAGUAACCUGCUGGUCUCAUCACAAGUAAGAUGAAAAACUCCAACAAAAUAAUCAUGGGAGGCUUUUCUGAGAAGUUGAAAAAACAGAAGGAGGUAAUGGACUGAGGCAUAUUACCAUCUGCAGAAAACCACUUUGUAAUUGCAGUGCAUCAGUCUCAGCACCAGACAGGAAAAUAGAUAUCACGUGACCAGCUAUUUUAUGUUCCAGUUUGACUUCCCUGUUAUGGUGACCUUUAACCUGUUAUUGUGAGAUAAAAUAAAUCCUUUCUCCCAUGAGUUGCUUUGUUAUGAUAUUUUAUCACAAUAACAGAAGUAUAAUUAGGAUACUAAACUGUGCAGGAUCUCUAGAAGGGUUGGUUGAGGAGGAGCUUUCACUGCUUGAAGACAGCUUGAAAGAUACAAAGAUUACAGAUAAUCAGCAAAAUCAGCGAAAAGGAGAAACAUAAAACAGCAAUAACCAGUUGUAGAAGUAAAGAUCAACAAGCUGUGUGAACUGUGUGACAAGCCACAAAAAAACAACCAUCAUAAAGAAACUCAUAAACCUGAAAGAGAACAUUCACAACUGAACAAAAUGGGAAUCUGAGACAGGAACAAAAUGGGUCAUGCAACACCAAAAAUCAUCCACUGUAGAAAAGAACCAAAUAAAUUCUGACUCUUGAAAGCACAAUAACUGAGCUGAUAAUUCCAUGGAGGUCUUCAACAUGAGCCUCAAUGCAGUGGAAAUCAGAAUAGCAGUUUCAAAUGAGGGCCAUUACAACUGACCUAGAGGAGCAAGACGGAAAGGAAAAAAGAGUGGAAGAGCCUAGGAGAUGUCCUCCUCCUUAGUUGACUCUCUAAGAUAUAUUUUCACAGUGGUUAAAAAAGGACUAACACAAAUAACAAAAUGUUUCCUGGGGAGAUAGGAAUAUAGAAUUUUCAUAUGUAGUUCAAAUCCCGUUGGGAGCCUGUUGCUGACUGUUACAAAAGACUUUAUGUAAGCUUUAUGACAACGGUGGAAAAAAUUACUUAGAUCAGAUUCACAAAAGAUAAGAUAAAAUGAAGCAUGCUUUUACAAACAAAACAAGCAAACAAAAUGCAGAUCACAAAAGAAGAUAGCCAACUAAAAGAUAUGAACAAAGAAAAUACAACAGUCAAAAGGCAAUUAGUGAAAUGAUGACAGUAAAAUCCUUACCUAUUAAUAAUUCCUGUAAAUGUAAAUGGAUUAAGUUUCCCAAUCAAAAGACAAUAGCAGUCUUCAUGGAUUUAAAAACAAACACCAGUGUAUCUAUUGUAGAUUAUUUGCUUAGCAUUAGUGACCCUGAUUAGUGCUCCAUCUCUAGCACCCCAAAAUAAAAUAAUUACAUUAAAAAGACAUUUCAAACAAA